RNAcentral lists this microRNA precursor (92 nucleotides) under Medicago truncatula (barrel medic). RNAcentral describes it as "MIR2617 microRNA precursor family". It matches the Rfam family "MIR2617 microRNA precursor family". Lineage: Eukaryota; Viridiplantae; Streptophyta; Magnoliopsida; Fabales; Fabaceae. The record is from Rfam by way of RNAcentral.
AUGUAGUGUAGCAUGCCCGUUUGUGGAAUUACUCUGAUGUGAAAUUUUAUUAUUAUUUAAAUGAUUUUGGAUAACGGGAUGUUACACAUUCA